UUGUGGAGGAGGACGCCGAAGGUGGGGCUAAUGACUGGGGUGAAGUCGUAACAAGGUAGCCGUACCGGAAGGUGCGGCUGGAUCACCUCCUAACAGGGAGACAACAAAAUGUUAAAUAUUAAUUUUGUCACCUUAGGUCGAUCGGUAUCUCACAUUCUUAAUUUAUUUAUUAUUGAGAAUUUCAUUCCUAAGUUUUUUCUAGGUCACACCCAUUACUUUUCCUGGGCCAUUAGCUCAGGUGGUUAGAGCGCACCCCUGAUAAGGGUGAGGUCCCUGGUUCAAGUCCAGGAUGGCCCAUAUCUCUAUGUUGGGGGUAUAGCUCAGUUGGUAGAGCGCCUGCUUUGCAAGCAGGAUGUCAGCGGUUCGAGUCCGCUUACCUCCACUGAUUACCACCUCUUCCAUAAUUUAUAGAAGGGAAAUGUUUUAGUUGUGAUCAAAUUCUGAACGAUUCUAGCUUCCUAAUCAAAUUUAUUAAGAUGCUGGACUCAUUGAAUUAAUUUCAUUGUUUUCAGAGAACCUUGACAACUGCAUAGAUUAUUUUUAAAGACAAUAAGCAUCUUUAAUGAUGCAGAUUUAUUAUUUGUGCGAAUGCAUUAAUAACAAUUCUAUUAAGCUGAUGCUUCAAUUUUUGAAGUUAUUGGUCAAGCUACAA
This 652-nucleotide unclassified non-coding RNA is filed under the name uncultured Prochlorococcus sp. Its description in RNAcentral is "partial 16S-23S ribosomal RNA intergenic spacer; may also contain 16S ribosomal RNA and 23S ribosomal RNA". The stretch from base 310 to 382 matches the Rfam family "tRNA". The record is from RNAcentral. Lineage: Bacteria; Bacillati; Cyanobacteriota; Cyanophyceae; Synechococcales; Prochlorococcaceae.